Molecule: ribosomal RNA, 408 nt
Filed under: uncultured bacterium
Lineage: Bacteria
Description: bacterial SSU rRNA
Rfam family: Bacterial small subunit ribosomal RNA
Source: RNAcentral
AGUGAACGCUGGCGGCAGGCCUAAUACAUGCAAGUCGAACGGCAGCACAGUGGAGCUUGCUCCAUGGGUGGCGAGUGGCGGACGGGUGAGGAAUACAUGGGAAUCUGCCCAGUCGUGGGGGAUAACGUAUGGAAACGUACGCUAAUACCGCAUGCGCCCUUCGGGGGAAAGUCGGGGACCGCAAGGCCUGACGCGAUUGGAUGAGCCCAUGUUCGAUUAGCUAGUUGGCGGGGUAACGGCCCACCAAGGCGACGAUCGAUAGCUGGUCUGAGAGGAUGAUCAGCCACACUGGAACCGAGACACGGUCCAGACUCCUACGGGAGGCAGCAGUAGGGAAUAUUGGACAAUGGGCGCAAGCCUGAUCCAGCCAUGCCGCGUGAGUGAAGAGGCCCUCGGGUUGUAAAGCUC